UACAGAGGAUGCAAGCGUUAUCCGGAAUCAUUGGGUUUAAAGGGUCCGUAGGCGGCCCAGUAAGUCAGUGGUGAAAUCUCACGGCUCAACCGUGAAAUUGCCAUUGAUACUGCCGGGCUUGAAUUAUUGGGAAGCAACUAGAAUAUGUAGUGUAGCGGUGAAAUGCUUAGAUAUUACAUGGAAUACCGAUUGCGAAGGCAGGUUGCUACCAAUGGAUUGACGCUGAUGGACGAAAGCGUGGGGAGCGAACAGG
RNAcentral lists this ribosomal RNA (253 nucleotides) under uncultured bacterium. Its description in RNAcentral is "partial 16S ribosomal RNA". It matches the Rfam family "Bacterial small subunit ribosomal RNA", at positions 524 to 776 of the family's 1533-position model. The record is from RNAcentral.